UCGAACCUGUUGGAAAUAACGCUGCAGCCUCGGGAGGUGCGAGAGUUUACCUUUUUCGGGGAGGACUGCUGCUGCUGAAUUUUUAUUAGGCUGCACUCGGGGAUGCGCGUGUUUGUGUGUGUGUGUAUAUGGGAGCUGUUGGGCUUCCGGUGGACGACGAGGUGUUGGCAGGAAUUUUUCUCGGAUGCGAGAGGUUUAUUUUGUUUUUGGAGCUAUGGGCGAGAGGUCUACGAGCAGGUGAUUUCGGGGGAGAUUAUUGAGAGUCACGCGUUGGAGUUGACGCUGAUGGUGCUUUAGGGCGCCGUUAUGCCGCUCGUUUGUAUAUUCGGAUGAGUUCGAAGGAUUUUAAAAUAAAAAAAAAAAAAUUAUCCAGAUCAAAAUCCACACACGCACGAGCGAGCUAUCCAUCAGCCGAUCGCGCAGAGCGCGAGUCAUUACGCGAAAAACCAGAGCUACUCCUCUCGCUCGGCAGAUACAUAUCUAAACCGCCGCCCGCGCUCGCGCCGCGAGAGAUUUACGGCGACACGCGGCAAAACGAGACUCGACUCUCGCGCGGCCGAAAAAAGAGCGCCGACGAGACGCGCCAACGCCCUCGGCGAGAUUCAUAAUUCCAUAGCCUGCUCUCUCGUGUAUACCUCUAUACACGCGUAUGUAAAGUUAUAGAGGUAUAUAAAAUCUCGCGACGCGACGCAAAUCUCGACGCGUGUGGGUGCGGCGCGAGGCCAUUGUUAUAUGCCGCUCGGCGAGCGCGCGAGCGAGAAAGGGAGCAAAAAGCCGAAGACGCUUGUCGUUUCGAUAUAAGGCCGCGCGUAUUAUAUAUACGUAUAUCGCUGCUUCUUCUUCUGCUUCGUGUAUAUAUGUAUAUUCCAUUGUACGCAGAUACGCUGCGGAGGGAGGGAGAGGGCAGCCCCCAUUGUUUAUGCUAAACGCUCAUGGAUCAAAUUUAUGCAGGCCCUUUCUCGCCCUUCGUAAUUCUCUUAUAUUUCUGCGGAUGCGAUGUUUUUGUUUCUUCAUUGGUUUUUGGUGGUUGCACUUUUUACGUGAUUAUAAAACAAAAUUCGCAGAUAUUUAUACGGUAUAUUGUAUGCUCAGCUUAUUACUUUUCCCGAGGACACGCGUAAGAGUUUUAUCGCCACUCGAAGAAUCUCGCACAAGAAAUCAAGCGUUUUCAGCUCCACCUAUAUACUUAAAAUCGCACCAAAAGCAGCCAACAACAAUAGCAUAACCAACUUUAUACACACACUGCAAGUCGAGCCAAAUCCGCACUACAAAAGAAGAGAAAGGAGGUCCGCGCGCGCGAAAGGCGCAAAUCGGAAAGAAGAGAAAAACCGCGAGAGCUCCUUAUCGAGAUCAGAAGCCGAGAAGGAGAAUGGCCUGAAUCGCGAACUCGGGCGUUUCCGUUCGCCACUGCUCGCUUCGUGCAGCGUGUACGCAGCGCGGAGAACCGUUCGCGACUUUCUGCGCGCCGGGGGAACUAGGAUUCGACGCUCACGUUUUCUCGCGCGAGCAUAAUAUACUUGCACACACAGUGGGGUUGCAAGGCAUACACACAACGAUUCCUUGGAAUUUUCCUUCCUCAUCAAUUUUCCAACUGGAGAGGAUUGUCAAACUCGGUGUAUCAGCUGUUCACUUCAUACAGACGCCUGCCAGCGUCACCUCACAUUCCGACUCGUUCGCUAAUAAUCGACGAGUACUUAUACCGUGAAAAAUGUUCGUUAACCGUUGGAUGAAACUGUUGAAACACCGGCCAGCAAAUAACGUAGAGGAUGAUUCUUCCAUAACUCUGGAGGAUGCGAAAGCAUCUCGAAGCAACAGCGUCAACUCUGAGACGCUUAAAGACGAGAAAACGGCAAUGCACAGAGCCAUACGUGUUUUCAAGGGAAACACGAAAGUGGCGAAAAUGUUGCAAGACCUCGGCUUUGAAAAGAGUGCCAGCAAUUCCAAUAGGAAUCUUCGAGGGCCAGUAGACUCCGACAAAAAUUAAUAGUAUAAUUUAUUCUCUCAAUAUCUGAAAGAGUGAACAGUCACUGCGAUUAGAGGCAAAAUUGAGUCGCUCUUUGCGAAGAUUUAUCAUGAAGUGAUUUCUCACUCUUUCAGAUUUAGAGAGAACUGCAGAGAGACACUGUAACACUGGUGACUGAGGUUAUGAUAUGUAUUUAAUUUUAACUUUGUCUUUAGAAACUUUUCGCCCACAUCAUACUACGUAUAUUUUCUAUUAUUUAUUUUCAAAUACAUACUUUCAUACGCGAAGUCGCAUGAGUUUAUCUUAAUUUAUUUAUAUGAUCCGAACAAUUCCAUAUAAUCAAAUGCUUGAUCGUCCAGUUCCUCUUAGUAAAUAAUCAACAUUUACGUACUCUGUAUUGUAUAAGAAAACCGUUAAACGAAUCCCAUGGAUUAUUUGUUUUUAUUAAUAUUCACUAAUUUAUCUAUUUAUUUAUUACAGCCUACAAAGCUUUCCAUUGAUCUGUAUAUAAAACUUGGUCAUCAGUUUUUGCGCGGCGGCUCUAGAUAAAAAUGUACCGAUAUAUCUCAAUGUCGAGAAUACAACAGACCAAUGACCCUUAGUCUGCCAAGUUGCUAGACCCUUGCAAAGUGGUCUCGCUCUAUAAUUUAUCACAGUUAAUUAAUUACGGAUGAUAAUUCGCAAACAAUGUAUACAUUCGAAACAACUUAAUUUGUAAUUGCCAUUGAGUCUGUUAAUAUAAUUUUUGCACAAUAA
This is a long non-coding RNA of Nasonia vitripennis (jewel wasp), 2719 nucleotides long. RefSeq lists it as uncharacterized. The record is from RefSeq and is a predicted model, not a curated record. The transcript is spliced from 2 exons. Lineage: Eukaryota; Metazoa; Arthropoda; Insecta; Hymenoptera; Pteromalidae.